This 451-nucleotide ribosomal RNA is filed under the name uncultured bacterium. RNAcentral describes it as "bacterial SSU rRNA". It matches the Rfam family "Bacterial small subunit ribosomal RNA", at positions 29 to 524 of the family's 1533-position model. The record is from RNAcentral.
AACGAACGCUGGCGGCAGGCCUAACACAUGCAAGUCGAACGCUCGUAGCAAUACGGGAGUGGCAGACGGGUGAGUAACACGUGGGAACCUUCCCUAUGGUUCGGAAUAGCUCAGGGAAACUUGGGGUAAUACCGGAUAAGCCCUUCGGGGAAGGAUUAUCGCCAUUGGAUGGGCCCGCGUCGGAUUAGCUAGUUGGUGAGGUAACGGCUCACCAAGGCAACGAUCCGUAGCUGGUCUGAGAGGAUGAUCAGCCACACUGGGACUGAGACACGGCCCAGACUCCUACGGGAGGCAGCAGUGGGGAAUCUUGCGCAAUGGGCGAAAGCCUGACGCAGCCAUGCCGCGUGAAUGAUGAAGGUCUUAGGAUUGUAAAAUUCUUUCACCGGGGAUGAUAAUGACAGUACCCGGAGAAGAAGCCCCCGGCUAACUUCGUGCCAGCAGCCGCCGUAAC